GUAAUAUAUCGGAACGUGCCCAGCCGUGGGGGAUAACGUAGCGAAAGUUACGCUAAUACCGCAUACGAUCUAAGGAUGAAAGCGGGGGAUCGCAAGACCUCGCGCGAUUGGAGCGGCCGAUAUCAGAUUAGGUAGUUGGUGGGGUAAAGGCUCACCAAGCCAACGAUCUGUAGCUGGUCUGAGAGGACGACCAGCCACACUGGAACUGAGACACGGUCCAGACUCCUACGGGAGGCAGCAGUGGGGAAUUUUGGACAAUGGACGCAAGUCUGAUCCAGCCAUUCCGCGUGCAGGAUGAAGGCCCUCGGGUUGUAAACUGCUUUUGUACGGAACGAAAAGGUCUCUAUUAAUACUGGGGGCUCAUGACGGUACCGUAAGAAUAAGCACCGGCUAACUACGUGCCAGCAGCCGCGGUAAUACGUAGGGUGCAAGCGUUAAUCGGAAUUACUGGGCGUAAAGCGUGCGCAGGCGGUUAUGUAAGACAGAGGUGAAAUCCCCGGGCUCAACCUGGGAACUGCCUUUGUGACUGCAUAGCUAGAGUACGGUAGAGGGGGAUGGAAUUCCGCGUGUAGUAGUGAAAUGCGUAGAUAUGCGGAGGAACACCGAUGGCGAAGGCAAUCCCCUGGACCUGUACUGACGCUCAUGCA
RNAcentral lists this ribosomal RNA (647 nucleotides) under uncultured bacterium. RNAcentral describes it as "bacterial SSU rRNA". It matches the Rfam family "Bacterial small subunit ribosomal RNA", at positions 110 to 753 of the family's 1533-position model. The record is from RNAcentral.